This is a long non-coding RNA of Orbicella faveolata, 774 nucleotides long. Lineage: Eukaryota; Metazoa; Cnidaria; Anthozoa; Scleractinia; Merulinidae. The record is from RefSeq and is a predicted model, not a curated record.
CGACUCGCUUCAGCAGUCGUUCUGUCACGCAGAAUUUUCGAGAAGGUCGUGUAACCUUCGGAUCUACUUCGCAAACCCCGAUUGGUUCCCGAAAUAGAUUUCGUUCUAUCUUCGACCUCCGUUUACAAUAUAGAACGUUCGCGAACCUCUCGUUUCGUCUCGCAAAUUAGUUAUUGCGAAACAUUGACACGAACGCUACGCAGCCACAUGUAACGCUUAAUGGAGAAAGGUUUUAUACAAAAGAAACUGUUUCAUCUUUGGUUGCUUUAUUUAGGUAGAGCUUGAUGCGUGUUAAUAAAUAUGCUUAGCUUCAGUGAAGAGUAAGUUAUUAUGAGUGUCGCUUAAACCAGAACAUGCCUGUAUUGAUCAACCUCCGAAAAUUUGGAAGUGCGAGUUGGAAAGAUCAUUAAAAAUUACAACAACACGCAGUGGUUUAACGUUUGCCGCAAAGAGCAAGCACAAAAUCAGUCAGUGGCCCUCUAAGCGGUACUCCAGUUACGUGACUUGCGGUGGCCGCUUGACUGAAGUUUCAGUUACCGUGUCAACAUAUAAAUUGUCCAUUUUGGAAGCAGACUUCUGAAGUGGUGUAACGGGGUACGCGGAUGAGGAGAGUACCGGAGAGUACAGGCAAAAAUAAGAAGGCAUAAAUUGUCAAGUAAAGAUACUUACAGAUGGUGUACUACAGUCGAUUCUCUUUGAGCGAGUAGUUAUGUCGCGCAGACCAUUACUGUUCGAAAAAUACCAGAAGUUUCGCCCAGCUAGAUCACUAAGCAA